Molecule: long non-coding RNA, 1233 nt
Organism: Leptidea sinapis
Lineage: Eukaryota; Metazoa; Arthropoda; Insecta; Lepidoptera; Pieridae
Exons: 2
Source: RefSeq, a predicted model, not a curated record
AUUCCCCCCUGACAAACACCUAGAGAAGAAAGUCGUGGUCCAUACAAAUGUUUAUUAAAUUUUACAUAUACUUUUCUGUCAGUCAAAAAGGAUUGCAUCCAAUUUAUUAUUUUACCUGGUAUCCCUAACAUUGAUAACUCGUCACAAAGCACGGCAAUAUUUACACUAUUGAAGGCACCUGAGAUGUCAAAAAAUACAGACAAAAGAUAUUGAUUACUUGCUAAACAUUGAUGCGCAUCAAGCUGUAACUGCGCUAUACUCUCCCUAGAAGACCGACCUUUGCGAAAACCAAACUGAUUAUUAGGCAAAAGACAAUUUUGUUCUAUAAAGAACUCGAGACGUUGUUUUAGAAGCUGCUCAAAUAUCUUCCCAACACAAGACGUGAGAGCUAUAGGUCUAUAAGAGUCAGCAUUUAAAACUGCUUCUGUACACCUCUGAUUCCACCAAGGCGACCAAGGAUAUUUAAAAGAUUUUUGUGAACAAGAACUAGUAGCAUUAUUACUAUUAGAACUUUUGGAAAACAGACAGCUAGGGAUUGACUGCUUGGCAGCAGAAAGUAAAAUAUUACAAAAGGAAUUAAAAGCAUCUAUUGAAGAUAAAGUGUCAAAUUUAACAUCAUCCAAAUAAGAAACAACUAAGUUACUAUACAUAUUCCAAUUCACCUGCUUAUAAUUAGGGUGAGUGGGCAAAUGUAGAUUAUUACAUAAUGUGUUUUGCAAACUAAUACUAUCACUACUUACUGCCAUUUUUAUUAUUACAGGGAGAUGAUAACUACUGCCCAGAGGACUGUCAAUAACUGACCAGUCACAUAAAAGAGCCAAAGAUGGAGUUACCAAAGUCAAGUCAAGAGCAUUAGGACGCCAAGAUGGAGAUCCUAUUGUGGUAGCUUGACCAUUAUUCAGAAUAACAAGACCAUUCUCAUCUAUAACCUCUAAAACAUCUUUACCUCGAGGCAAUGUAUCAACACAUCCCCACAACAUGUGAUGAGCAUUGAAAUCACCUGCAAAUAUCAUUGGCUCUGGAAUGGACUUAAUUAAACUGUUUAAAUUGUUUUUAUUAAAUGGAGGAUUUGAAUUGGAAGGACUGUAAAAACUCACAAUACUCAGUUCUUUGUUAUUAAUUUUAAUUUUAAUGCAAACAUUUUGUAGAGCACUAUCAUAAUAUGUAUUUAUGUUAGAAAAUGUGAUAUUAUUAUGAAUAAAAAUUGCUACACCAUUGUGUUUAUUACCACAA